CCUACGGGAGGCAGCAGUGAGGAAUAUUGGUCAAUGGCCGGAAGGCUGAACCAGCCAUGCCGCGUGAAGGGCAGGGACCUAUGGGCGUUAAACUUCUUGUGUGCGGGAGCAAGAAUGGUCACGUGUGGCCAGACGAGAGUACCGUACGAAGAAGCAGCGGCGAACUCCGUGCCAGCAGCCGCGGUAAGACGGGGGAUGCAAGCGUUAUCCGGAGUUCUUGGGUUUCAAGGGUGCGUAGGCUGUGAGGUAAGUCAGCGGUGAAAUGCCCCCGCUCAACGGGGUGAAGUGCCAUUGAUACUGCCUUGCUGGACUGCGGCUGCCGUGGGAUGAAUGUGUGGUGUAGCGGUG
Molecule: ribosomal RNA, 348 nt
Filed under: uncultured bacterium
Lineage: Bacteria
Description: partial 16S ribosomal RNA
Rfam family: Bacterial small subunit ribosomal RNA
Source: RNAcentral